This 923-nucleotide long non-coding RNA is filed under the name Anas platyrhynchos platyrhynchos (common mallard). RNAcentral's name for it is "lncRNA (ENSAPLG00000017573.1)". Lineage: Eukaryota; Metazoa; Chordata; Aves; Anseriformes; Anatidae. The record is from RNAcentral.
CUUUUCAGAUAACUCAGAGGGGUUAAAGAAAGAUGGGUAGAACUGCCACUGGCUUGGAGCUGCUAACAGGCUGAUAUAGUACUUGGAGAAAGCCUUUUGCUUCAGGACAGAAGAGCUGUGAAAACACUUGAAGUAGCACAAGUGAUGCAUGGAGUUUGUAAGAGAGAAAAAGAAGGCCAGUCAUCAGGAACUGAUCCGGGAUGAUAGCAGCACGUCCCUGGCAUGGCUGUACAAAUAAUUUCAGUAACAUUAUAUAUGACCAGUGGGAAUGAGGAUGCUCCAGCUUUCUGUCUCUAAUUCUGCUAUUUCUUGGCUUGGCUCACUGUCAGCCCAUUUCCAAAAAAAUCUUUGCAACAUGGAAGAAUUUUCCUGGAGAAAUUUUCAGCUGCUACAAGGAAAACAGAUUGAAGAGUUCAUGAAAAUAUAGUUCUCUUGGUCCUACCACCUUCUCCAUCAUCGCCAAGUGCCUCCAAACUACUUUCUGUGCCUUAAAUCCCACUGACAGUGGUGAUGUGCUCCCAGUGACCAUAGCAAGAAGUCCUGGAUCCUGGCCUCUACCAGGUCAGCUCUCGCAGCAGCUUAGGGCAGCAUCCAGAUGGCUGCAGACACACAUGUGUGGUUACAGGGUUCCUUCUGAGGAUUAGCAAAGGGUACGGUGUGGCUCUUUUCAAAUAUUUGAACUGUUCGGCAAAGAAAUUGCAGAAAACAAUAGAAAAUACCAAAUUAGAAAAUACCAAACCCAAGGAAGUCAUGCGCAUAUCUGGGUGUAUCAGGUAAGCUGGCAUUGCAGUUACAAUCUGCAGUUAUUUCCUAAGCAAACAACCCUUGCGUUACCUAUUUGUUCUGUACUUGGUUUUCAGUUAUUGACUUGCAUUUGAAAUAUGGCAAUUAAAGUAAUUUUCACAUAUGUUCAUAGGACUUUC